Molecule: long non-coding RNA, 6301 nt
Filed under: Mytilus galloprovincialis (Mediterranean mussel)
Lineage: Eukaryota; Metazoa; Mollusca; Bivalvia; Mytilida; Mytilidae
Source: RNAcentral
AGAAUUAGAGACAGAUAGAACCAUUAUGUGGUCAAGACUACCUGGAAUUCCAAGUAAAAUGAAAUGGCCUGUCCUUGUAUACCAUGAUAGUGUGCACAAGAACAUGAUUGAUGUAUUUUGUAAAGCUGAUGAUGCAGUGUAAGCAAAUAAUUUUAUUACAAAUUAUGUUAACUCGUAAGGUUUUUAUAUGACCCCUUAGUCAGGCAGUGGCUGCUCUCUAUGUUUUGUAUCUGUUACUGUUUUCAAUAUUAAACAGGCCAACAGUGUUCUCCCCAGGGCCUUUUGCAUCAUGGUAAUGUGAUGCUAUAUUUCUUGAAUGUGAUGCUAUCUGAAUUGGUUUUCUUAUAGAUUAUGUUAUGGAUGUGAUGCUAUAUUUUUUAGAAACAAGAUGGUACUAUAUUUCAAAUGUCCCUGUUUACAAGGAUGCUAAAUGAAAUAUCUGGGGAGAACACUGCCCGAAAAAUGUCAUAUUGUGGGGCAUUGCAAAUUUUUAUCGUUCUGAUUUUGAUUCGAUUUUUAUCAUUUGAUUCCUCUCACAGUCUUGCGAAAUUCCAGAAACCUGUAUCUGACAUUCGGUCAGACAAACUGACAUCUUCUGUCUGACUUCUAGUUUGGAUGAUGCAUGUUUAAGUUUGCUUCAGUCAGCAUAAAGAGCAGGUAUAUUUUACCAAGCAUAUUGUACCAAAUUGAUCAUAAACUAUAGCAUAUAGCAUAAUAUAUAUACAUGUAGGUUUACAGUGAAGAUGGUUAAUCUUGAGCCAUUCUUGAGAUCUUUGAGAAGUUCUUGGGAGCAGAUUGGAAUGAGUAUUUAUGCUUUUAUAACAUUUUGAUCAAAGUUAACUUUUAGCAUGUUUUACUUGAGAGAAACAGAGGAAACAGUUGUGAAUACUUCAAAUCAUUUGAUCAAAGAAUGCAAACAAUACAUAUAUAUGUUUACAGCAUUUAAAUUGUAUUGAAUGAUUCUUUUUAAUUCAUAUUGAAUGGAAAGAUUGAUGAAAAAGAACUUUUCUUACUGAAAAAAAAAAGAUCAAGGAAAGUUAAAUACUAAACAUUUUUUAUGUAACUAUUCAACUAUGGCUUUUGAUUUGAUCAUUUGGUUAAGUACAAGUAACUGUUUCAAUCUUUAAACUGGACAUGGCUGAAGACUUAGUUUUACAUAAUACUAGACAACAUUCAAUUUUAUCCAUGUACUGUACUUUCAUGUCUUUGGACUCUACUAAGUUCAUGAAUGAUUUGUGGCAAAGUUUACAUGACGACUAACUCUUCAAAAUAAAUGAAUUUACUAACAGGUCUUCAGCCAUGAAAGUGAUUAAGAUGUUGGUCAUUUUUACAAUUGAAUUAAUUUGUAAGUUAAUAAUUGAAAAUAUUCUACGAGUGACCGAACAACAAAAUAAUUCAGCAGUGCUCAUAAGAGUUAUUAUUGUUGUUCCGUCACAAGUGGUAUAUUUUCAAAAAUCAAAUUAAAUUGUUAAUUAUGUUUUUAUAAAUAGAUCACAAAACAUGAUUAAAAAAUGUCUUAUUCCAGUAGUAUUCAUGAUAAAUAACAUCAAACAUGAGCGUAUGAUUAUAAAAAAAACCAAAUAUGACUGCAUCCAAUUUAAGUACCUUAUUGCGGCAAAUUUUUGUGAGGUUCAUAGUUUUGCCCUUUUUAUGAGGUUUUACGUAAAUGUGUAAAAAUAAAUUGCUUAAUUCUCUUACAUGCCAACUAUUUCGAUUUUUCCAUAAUAUUUUAUGAAUUUUGGGUCAAUUUACGGUUAUAAUGUUGUAAAAAUUUGAAACUGCAAAAAUUACCCAAUGCACUAUAAAGUAUAUUGCAUUUCACAUUCUUAUAAUCGAUAAUUCUGAAAAGUUAAAAGGGCAAAACUGAGAAUAAAUUUGGUACAUUUUGCAAAAAUAUGCUGAGAAAAGACAUAAAAAGUUUCAUGAGUGAAUAAUCAACCGAUAAGUGAUGAUAUCAGAUUCAUCUGAGAAAUUUCAGUAUUUCUUUGUCAUCUAUAUAAUAAUAUAUAUUUGUUUCAAUAUGUUCAUUGCAUGACUGUUAUCACUUAUUUCAGUGUAUUAUCCAGAAAGGGUUUGUCUGUUUUUAGUCCCCUAACGGCGAAGCCAAAGGGGACUAGGUUUGCACUUUGUCAGUCUGUCUGUCGGUCCCCACAAAUCAGUUUUUCCCCACUUUUUUUUAUUGUGCUUGAAGAUAUUGAUUUGAUAUUUUGUAUAAUGUUUCAUUUUGACCAGUUACAGAUCAAGUUCAAAUUUUGUUCCGAUCUGAUGAUUUUAGUGUCUCGCCUGCGACAAAAUUUAAGUCGCAUAGUUAGACAUAAGUAUUACUAUCCGGCGGUGGCGUAAACUAUUUGUAUAAAGCUUUAUAUUUCAGAAGGUAGAAGACUAGCUUGGAUGCUUCAUACCUUGUAUGCAGAUACCUUAUGUCAUGAACUUUCCGUCUGUCGUAUGACCAUUGUCCUUGACUUAUUUUCAUGGUUCAGUGACUGCUUGAAAAAAAGUUUAGUUUUUUUGUUAUGGGAAUUUCUCACUUAUAAUAAGUAAUGGGAUAACUAUAUUUGGUAUAUGGGUUCAUUUCAAGGUCUACAUGUCCAUCAGACAAGAUUCACCUGACCUCGACCUCAUUUCUUGGAUAAGUGAUCAAGGUUAAAGUUACGUGAAUAGGUCCGUUUGUCAGAUACUGAAAGCAGUAUGUCAAAUAUAUUUGGUGUAUGGAAUGAUUGUAAGGUGAACAUGUUUGUCUGGCAGGUGUCAUUUGUCCUUGACCUCAUUUUCAUGGUUCAUUGGUCAAUGGUAAGUUUUUGUGUUUUGAUCUGUUUUUCUAAAACUAUAAGCAAUAGGUCAACUAUAUUUGGUGUAUGGAAUGAUUGCAAGGUGUAAUGUCUGUCUGGCAGGUGUCAUAUGUCCUAUCUCAUUUUCGUCGUUCAUUGGUCAAUGUUAAGUUUUAUGUUUUUGUCUGUUAUUCUAAUACUAUAAUCAAUAGGUCCACUAUAUUUGGUGUAUGGAAUGAUUGUAAGGUGUACAUGUCUGUCUGGCAGGUGUCAUUUGUCCAUGACCUCAUGUUCAUGGUUCAUGGUCAAUGUAAAGUUUUUGUGUUUUGGUCUGUUUUUCUAAGUUACUAUAAGCAAUAGGUCCACUAUAUUUGGUGUAUGGAAUGAUUGUAAGGUGUACAUGUGUGUCUGGCAUGGUUUAUCUGACCAGGACCUCAUUUUCAUGGAUCAUUGAUAAUUUUAAGUUUAUGUGAUACUUGUAGUAAAACUUUUAUCAUUAGGACUAUCAACAUAAAAUUAAUCAAGGUUAGGAAAGCAGGCGAGACAUUUCAGCGUGUGGACUCUUGUGCAGAGUUGUGGUCCUUCGACUUAGAAAAUUCACGUAAAUAACUAGUUAUCUGCACUUUUUUCGUCAUGCUUGAAGAUAUUAAUUUGAUAUUUGGUAUAUAGUUUUAAUAUGACCAGUUACAGAUCUAUUUUGAAUUCUGUAUAAUACAUAGUAGAUAUUCUGCUAAGUAUCCUGAAUAUAUGGGAUCAAAGACCUAAAAAAAGUACCAUUUUCAUCGUUAUAUUAUUUCACUUUGAAAAAAAACCCAUUAUAUUCACGGUAGUUUAUUUAUGAACUGUGACACUUUAGCAGUCAAAAAUAUAUAUGCAAAUAUAUAAAAAAGAAGAUUUGUGUUAAUGCCAAUGAACAACCUAAACAAGAGACAGAAAUGACACAGAAAUUAACAACUAUAGGUCACCGUACGGCCUUCAACAAUGAGCAAAGCCCAUACCGCAUAGUCAGCUAUAAAAGGCCCCGAAAUAACAAAUGUAAAACAAUUCAAACGAGAAAAGUAACGGCUAAAUAAAUGUACAAAUAAAUGAACGAAACACAUAUGUACACAAACGACAACCACUGAACAGGCUCCUGACUUGGGACAUAUGUAAAUAAUGUGCGGGGUUAAACCAGUUUAGCGCGAUCCCAUUCCUCCCCCUACUUGGACAGUGGUGUAACAGUACAACAUAUAGGAACGAACUAUAAAAAUCAGUUUGAAAAAGCUUAACUCAUCAGAUGGAUAGAAACAUCUAACAAAAACGAGUGGCUUCAGCACUUAUACAUCCCAACAACAAAAAGACUAUUAGUACCGAUUUGAGAUUACUCGCAGUUACUGACAGCUAGUUCAAAGCCAAAAACAACUAAUAAAAAAAAUCAUGCAUCUAAAACUAAUAUGCAGAUGUAUGUUGUGAUACUUGACAAGCAUUCUGGUCUUUAGCCUCAAUUGGAGCAAAAAAAUGACUAUUUUAUGAAGAAAAUAGAAAAUGUCGUGUUUGUUAUAUUGUUAUAUAAUGAGAUUUGACUGUUUAUAAAAGAUGUCUGAUUUUUGAAUUCAAGGACCUAUACAGGCAUGACUUUUUGUCGAGCCUUCGACUUUAGUCGAAAAAGCGAGACUAAGCGAUCCUACAUUCUGGCGGCGGCGUCAACAAAUAUUCACUCUGUGGUUAAAGGUUUUGAAAAUUUUAUAACUUUCUAAACUAUCCUGGAUUUCUACCAAACUUGGACAGAAGCUUUCUUUUGAUCAUAAUAGUAUCCAGAAAAGUAAAAAAUAAAUAUUCCAGUUUUUCCGAAUUUUUACUUAAAAUGGACUUUUUUUCUACUUGGGAAACAACACAUCACUCUGUGGUAAAGUUUAGAAUUUUAAUAACUUUCUUAAACUAUCCUGGGUUUGUACCAAACUUGGACAAAAGCUUGUUUAUGAUCAUAAGAUAGUAUCCAGAAGUAAAUUUUGUAAAAAAAAUAAAUCCAUUCUAUUUGUCUUUUAGUUUCCAAGCACAGCUCCUAAUAUAACAAUAAGGAGAUGUGGUUAAUUGUCAAUAAAACAACUAUCCAUCAAAAUUCAAAAGAAGUAGAUGUACAAGCAAUUAUAGGCAACCAAAAACUCUUCAUCCAUGAGAAAACCAUGUUUUGUUUAGGGCCUUUCCAGAAUUGUGUUGGGGAAGGAAGGCACCUGUAUUAAAAUUUGAUGGGUGGUGGGUAUUUAAAAAAGAUUACUUGAACAUUUAAAUGAAAUAUCCAAUUUGAAAUGCAUGCAUGGUGGGGUCAAAUAGUCCAGUAGUCAGCACUAUGUGCUGUCAGACAUGAAUUAUCAUUUAUAUUAUUAUAUUUAUAAAUUUACUGUUUACAAAAUUUUGAAUUUUUGAAAUACUAAGGCUUUUGGUAGAAUUUAAUUAAACCUUAAACAUUGUCAAAAAAGGCUGUUCACCAAAAUGUUAAAAACUGAAAGUAUCAAUUUAAUAAUUGUCAUUUGUUUUGCAUGCUCUUUACAUUGUGAAGGUUAUUUGUAUUGCAAUUUCUAAGUCACAUUUAACAUGUUUAAGAGUUUUUUUUCAAAAAUUUGCUGCUGCAAGGUAAUAGAGUCUACAGUUAUUUGCUUAGAGUCAGAAUAAUGUAUUCAAAUGGGAUAACAGGCCUUAUGCAUCAAAACAUCAGUGCUUUUCCUUCUUAUUCUGUUUGAAAAACCGAGUAUGUAAAACUUUAAAAAAAAAAGAUUUUGCUCGCUCCUGUUGCAGACCACUCACCUGUCAAAAACUCAUUUUCAAGAAUUUUUUUAAAACAAAAAAAAUUAGCUCGCUUGCCCCAUUUUUUUUUUUAGAGCAAGUGUUCAAAGAACUAUUUAUCAAAUUGGUGUGGCCUAAUCAUCACUUUUCAUACUACAUUUUAAUUUUUAUACACCCGUCUUGAAAUUAUGGUAUAUCUCUGUCCAUCGUCAACAUGUUGCACAAUAACUCGAAAGUGCUUUCACUAGUUUCUGUGAAACUUGUUUAUAUCUAUUGACGUGCUAAUAUAAACUUCUAAUACAGACAAUGUUGCAAAAUAAUGUCUGAACGUAAUAUUUGAAUAUUUGUAUCAAAAGGGAAAUUUGCAAUUGACAUAUAAUUGAGCCUUGAUUCUAUAAGUAUAUUUGUGAGGAAUAUCUCUAAAUUGGAAAAAUAAAAUAAAAUAAAAAUACCAAGCACUUGAAAUGAGUUCAUGUACAAAAUCCAUGUGUGAUCCCAUUUAGUUUCACUUUGCAUAUUUCUUUUUUUAUUUACAGAAUGCUUGUCAAAAAAAGAAAAAACCCUCAAAUAUUGUUGAGGGGGGAUAGGACCUUUAUCGGGACUCCGGGAUCGGGUGUUUUUAAGCUCGGGAUUUCGGAAUUUACCCCUUCGGGAUCAAGGAAUUCUUUUUUUCAAAUUUCGGGAUCCGGGAUUUAUUUUUUUUUAAAUUCGGGACCUCGGGAUAUCGUGUUUUUAAGCCCGGGAUUUCGGGAUCAAGACCCCUCCUACCCCCC